UGUAAACUAUCAAUUUUAUAAUGAUUUAUAAAAAUCUAUGAUAUUGUGGAUAAUAUUUAUUAUUUUAAUGUGAAAGUGUGUGCUAAUUAGAUGAUGGCGUAUGAUUAUGAUCUAUUCUAAUAUGAGAGGAGCUCAUUGAAACAGCAGGAAACAGUCCUGAUAUAGGCUAGCUCUGGGUGAACGAGCGAGCGAGCGUGCGUGCGUGUGUGUCACUCAUAUGUGUGUACAGUGAGGUGAGUAAUGAGCGCGAGAGCGGCUGUUUGUCUGAGCGCCUUCUGCUACCUCUACACUACGGGCUGGAAUAUGCAGACAGCGUCUCCAACAGCGGAGUCAUGAUCUGCCGUCUUCCCCGGGACUCGUCUUCCGCUCGGAGCCGAAGCCGAACAACAUUUUGAAGCAUCUGAUAUUUAACCAGUGGCUUUCCUUCGGGGCAUCGCGUUGGUCGCUUAACACAGCCGAGGAGGAUCUUGCGCAGUGGCGGCGGACACUUCGGGUGAUGUCGGCUGGCCGUCACUCUUGACAUCGGCCUCCGCUCGCAGACGCACAGCGGAAUGGGAUCAGUGCGCAUGCAGUGAGGAGACAUCGGAAUGCACUUGCUUGUUGGACCUUCAUCCCAGUGAGCUGUCUGUUUGCAGUCUCACUGACAGACAGACACAACAUAUUGCUGCAACCCAACCCCCUCAGUUUCCUCUCCAUCACCAGCCAAUCAAAUGCACUCUGAAAAUAAACUAUCCAAUCAUGGCAAGCAAGUGACAA
Long non-coding RNA from Sinocyclocheilus rhinocerous, 756 nucleotides. RefSeq lists it as uncharacterized. NCBI's taxonomy places the organism in Eukaryota, Metazoa, Chordata, Actinopteri, Cypriniformes, Cyprinidae. The record is from RefSeq and is a predicted model, not a curated record. The transcript is spliced from 3 exons.